GGAAGCAUGGCUCAAAUGGUAGAGCUCCUGCCUAGAAAGCACAAGGGCCUGGACUCAAACCUCAGUAUUGCCA
RNAcentral lists this transfer RNA (73 nucleotides) under Dipodomys ordii (Ord's kangaroo rat). It matches the Rfam family "tRNA". Rfam says of the family: Transfer RNA (tRNA) molecules are approximately 80 nucleotides in length. Their secondary structure includes four short double-helical elements and three loops (D, anti-codon, and T loops). The record is from Rfam by way of RNAcentral. Lineage: Eukaryota; Metazoa; Chordata; Mammalia; Rodentia; Heteromyidae.